AACGAACGCUGGCGGCAUGCCUAACACAUGCCAGUCGAACGAGACCUUCGGGUCUAGUGGCGCACGGGUGCGUAACGCGUGGGAACCUGCCCUUAGGUUCGGAAUAACUCCCCGAAAGGGGUGCUAAUACCGGAUAAUGUCUUCGGACCAAAGAUUUAUCGCCUUUGGAUGGGCCCGCGUUGGAUUAGCUAGUUGGUAGGGUAAAAGCCUACCAAGGCGACGAUCCAUAGCUGGUCUGAGAGGAUGAUCAGCCACACUGGGACUGAGACACGGCCCAGACUCCUACGGGAGGCAGCAGUGGGGAAUAUUGGACAAUGGGCGAAAGCCUGAUCCGGCAAUGCCGCGUGAGUGAUGAAGGCCUUAGGGUUGUAAAGCUCUUUUACCCGGGAUGAUAAUGACAGUACCGGGAGAAUAAGCUCCGGCUAACUCCGUG
Molecule: ribosomal RNA, 433 nt
Filed under: uncultured bacterium
Lineage: Bacteria
Description: partial 16S ribosomal RNA
Rfam family: Bacterial small subunit ribosomal RNA
Source: RNAcentral